UCGCCGUGCGCCCGGCGACCGGUCGCCGUGAGACGGUCGGUGGCGUGUGCGGGGGUGGAGCCGCGACCGGCUCGGCGAGGACGCGGGCUCGGCCUCGACGAGGCGUCGCCGUGGGUCCGUCGCCGACGGCGGGUCCGGGCGGAAGGCCGGGCUCCCCGAGGCGGUCGUUUCCCCGGCGACCUCGCGGGUGACCGGUGCCGCGUCCCCGCGGCCCUUGUGACGCCGCCUCCCCGCGCCGGGGUUGGCCGUCCGCCACGUUCGCGUGCCGCCCGUCUCGAGUUUUCUCCCUCCGCCCGGCUUCUCCGAUCCCGGGGGCUCGCUUUCCCGCUCGUCGCGUGUCGCCCGCCGUGGUGGGGACCGCGGCGGCGGCCCCGGGUCGGCGCGGACCCGGGUCCUCCGGCCCGUCCGUCGCGGGAGUCGUCGUCGCCGGCCGGCGUGGCGUCGUGCCCGCCUCGCGCGUGCGGGUCGUUCGGAGGGGGGCGCCCGGGAGGAGGGCGGGGUUUCGGCCCCGCUCCUCCCCCGACCCCCGCCCCGCCCUCCCCGCCGCGCGUGGCGAGUCGUCCCCGUCGACCGGCGGCGAGCGCCCUGCGGCGCGAUCGGCGCCGGCCGGUCCCCGCGGCCCGCGUCCUUCCCCGCCCGCCGCCGCCGCCGCCGCGGUACGCGGGGUGCGGCCCGCGCCCCCCUCACCCGUCGGGCCGCGGUCGGCGGUCGCCGCGCCCCUUCCGCCCCGCCGCUCCGCGCCGCCCUCGCGCGCGCCUCGCCCCGCGGCCCCGGUCCCGGGGUGCGUCCCGGCGGAGCGAGCCCGUCCGCCCGGCGGCGGUAGACGGACGGACGGACCGACGGACGGACGGCGGGUGUCGCGGUCGGGUCGCCGACCGGCGCGCGCCCGUCCGCCUCCGCCUCCGCCGCCUCCCCCGCCCGCCCGCCCGCCCGCGCCUCUCCGCGGGGCGAGACCAGACCUCGCCGUCGGGCCCCGGCCCCCGUCCGUCUGUCCCGGGCGCUCGGCUUCCCGGUCCCCGGCUCCCCUCGCUCGCUCGCGCUCCCCUACCUGGUUGAUCCUGCCAGUAGCAUAUGCUUGUCUCAAAGAUUAAGCCAUGCAUGUCUAAGUACGCACGGCCGGUACAGUGAAACUGCGAAUGGCUCAUUAAAUCAGUUAUGGUUCCUUGGUCGCUCGCUCCUCUCCUACUUGGAUAACUGUGGUAAUUCUAGAGCUAAUACAUGCCGACGGGCGCUGACCCCCUUCGCGGGGGGAAUGCGUGCAUUUAUCAGAUCAAAACCAACCCGGUGAGCUCCCUCCCCGGCCCCGGCCGGGGGGUGCGGGCGCCGGCGCUCUGGUGACUCUAGAUAACCUCGGGCCGAUCGCACGCCCCCCGUGGCGGCGACGACCAUUCGAACGUCCCCUAUCAACUUUCGAUGGUAGUCGCCGUGCCACCAUGGACACGGGUGACGGGAAUCAGGGUUCGAUUCCGGAGAGGGAGCCUGAGAAACGGCUACCACAUCCAAGGAAGGCAGCAGGCGCGCAAAUUACCCACUCCCGACCCGGGGAGCGUAGUGACGAAAAAUAACAAUACAGGACUCUUUCGAGGCCCUGUAAUUUUGGAAUGAGUCCCACUUUUAAAUUCCUUUCGCGAGAUCCAUUUGGGGGCAAGUCUGGUGCCAGCAGCCGCCAGCGGUAAUUCCAGCUCCAUUAGCGUAUUUAAAAGUUGCUGAACGUUAAAAAGCUCGUAGUUGGAUCUUGGGAGCGCGGCG
This is a long non-coding RNA of Castor canadensis (American beaver), 1749 nucleotides long. The record is from Ensembl. Lineage: Eukaryota; Metazoa; Chordata; Mammalia; Rodentia; Castoridae.